CACACAAUUCCUCUUUUAGUGAUUAAGAUGAUGGUUACAUCAUUAAAAAAGGAUGAUGUCAUAAUUGUUUGUUGAAUUGUUGGAAAGCUAACAAACUUUUAUUCCAUAAAACACGUGGUAUCUAGGGAAGGAGGCAGGUCAAGCGUUCAUUCCACACUAAUUUUAGGAGAAGCAGAUGUUUGUGUGAAAACCUAUGAAUGCUUGAUUCCACGUCUUGACUUAUUACAUUUAGUCUCUGCAGAGAGAAACUUAACAUCUUAUUCCACCCUUUAACACCUAGCAAGAACAUUCUAUCACUCUUAAGGAACCACAGGUUAAUGUAUCAUUGCCAACCGUCUCCCUCUGUUAUAAAGACUGAUCAUAAAAAGUGAGCUUUUGAUAAUCUCUCUAUAGUCAGUGGGCGUCAGUGGGUGAGGGACAGUGCCCCUUCCAGUCUCUCUAUUGUCCAUGAGUAAAGAUCAGUGCCCCCUCCCGUUUUCCUAUAGUCAGUAGGUGAGGGUCACUAACGCCUCCUGUCUCUCUACUGUCACUGAGUGAGGGUUAGAGCCCCCUCCAUUCUCUCUACUGUCUAUGAGUGAAGGUCAGUGCCCCCUCCAGUCUCUAUUGUCAGUGAGUGAGGGUCGGUAACCCCUACAGUCUCUCUAUUGUCAGUGAGUGAGGGUCAUUGCCCCCUCCAGUCUCUCUAUUGUCAGUGAGUGAGGGUCAGUGCCCCCUAUCAGUAUCUCUAAUGUCAGUGAGUGAGGGUCAGUACCCCCCAGUAUCUCUAUUGUCAGUGAGUGAGGGUCAGUGCCCCCUCCUGUCUCCCUUCUGUCAGUGAUGUUCACUCGCAUCCGCUACAGCAGAAGAGGUUUCUGCUCUGCUCCAGUCCUCCCACCCCACCACCUGCUCCUUAGAUCCAAUUCCCUCGCAUCUCAUGUCUUCAUACUCUGUCUUCUUCUCUUUCUCUCUCACUAAAAUUCUCAAUCUCUCUCUCUCUCCUAGGGCAUAUUUUCAUCGCCCUUCAAACAUGCAACUGUAACCCCAAUUCUAAAGAAGCCCAACAGUGACCCUAACUCCUCGUCCAACUACCGUCCUAUCUCACUACUGCCUUUUGCAUCCAAGAUCCUUGAAAGAGUUGUGUAUGCACUGACCAAAGCAUCCAAUGUUCUCCCGGCUGCAAAAUCUUGUGGUCCUUACUCUAUCCUAAUAUUCCUUGACCUUUCUGUGGCUUUUGAUACUGUUGAUCAUCAACAGCUUCUUCUCAUCCUCCACAAUAUCGGUCUACAAGAUAUUGCUCUCUCGUGGUGCUCCUCCUACCUCUUCAAACGCUCUUUUAGUGUUUCUUUCUCUGGCUCUGCUUCUUCUCCCCAACUCCUCUCUGUUGGUGUCCCCCAAGGUUCAGUUCUUGUUCCCCUUAUGUUCUCUAUCUAUAUAGACUCCCUUGGUAAACUCAUUAGCUCCUUUGGCUUCCAAUAUCAUUACUAUGCGGAUGAUACGCAAAUCUAUCUGUCCUCUCCUGAUCUCUCCUCGACCUUCUUGACUAGUGUCUCUAAAUGUCUCUCUGCUAUUUUGUAACCGGAUGGCAGCCCACUUCCUUGAACUCAACUUGACCAAAACUGAAAUUCAGAUUUUUCCUCCCUCACGUGUUGCUACUCCUGUGUCUGUCUCCCUCCAAUUCAACUGUGCUACAAUCAGCUCCACCACGCAGGCGACCUCCAUCUCAAAAAUAUGUUGUGCAUCCGACCCUACUUAAUGCCAGAUGCGACUUAGGUGCUGGUCCAUUCCACUGUCCUUUCUCGCCUUGAUUACUGUAAUCUGCUUCUCAGUGGUCUUACGUGCUCCCAACUUGUGCCGUUACAGUCCAUAAUAAAUUCGGCAGCAAGGCUCAUCUUCCUGUCUGCCCGCACCUCCCCCGCUUCACCCUUCUGUCAGUCCCUACAUUGGCUUCCUGCAAGAUAUAGGGCUCAAUUUAAAAUUCUGGUUCUUGUUUUCAAAUCUCUACAUCUCUACACAAAUAUGUCCCGUCUAGACCCUUACGUCUUACCCUUACAUCUAACUUCUGUCCAUACUCCUACCUCUGAUGCUCACCUUCCAGACUUCUCAAAGGCUGCACCAUUCCUGUGGAACUCACUUCCCUCCUCCGCUAGAUGCUCACCCAGUCUCCACGUCUUCAAAAAAUCAUUGAAAACCCACUUCAUAUAAGUGUAUCAAUUAAACUGUUAAUAGCUCCCGACUGAUUCCUCUCUUGCAACUGUAAUUACUCUAAUACUAUCCUUACCUUCUGUGUCACUUUACCCCACUGCCUCUAGCAUGUAAACCCUCAACCAGGGGCGGACUGAGAACCCUCAGGGCCCCCGAGCAAAAUAAAUCAAGGGCCCCCUUACAGGCCCCACCCAUACUCUGCAGCAAGCGCCACCCUUGUCCCGCCUCCAUGCACCGCCUCCAGCCACACCCUACACAAUCUUUAGACACACGG
Non-coding RNA from Pelobates cultripes (western spadefoot toad), 2455 nucleotides. The record is from the annotation of a GenBank genome assembly. Lineage: Eukaryota; Metazoa; Chordata; Amphibia; Anura; Pelobatidae.